This 254-nucleotide ribosomal RNA is filed under the name uncultured bacterium. RNAcentral describes it as "partial 16S ribosomal RNA". It matches the Rfam family "Bacterial small subunit ribosomal RNA", at positions 524 to 776 of the family's 1533-position model. The record is from RNAcentral.
UACGUAGGGUGCAAGCGUUGUCCGGAAUUAUUGGGCGUAAAGAGCUCGUAGGCGGUUCGUCGCGUCGGCUGUGAAAACCUGAGGCUCAACCUCAGGCCUGCAGUCGAUACGGGCGGACUUGAGUACUGCAGGGGGAGACUGGAAUUCCUGGUGUAGCGGUGAAAUGCGCAGAUAUCAGGAGGAACACCGGUGGCGAAGGCGGUUCUCUGGGCAUUAACUGACGCUGAGGAGCGAAAGCAUGGGGAGCGAACAGG